Molecule: ribosomal RNA, 253 nt
Filed under: uncultured bacterium
Lineage: Bacteria
Description: partial 16S ribosomal RNA
Rfam family: Bacterial small subunit ribosomal RNA
Source: RNAcentral
GACGUAGGGCGCGAGCGUUGUCCGGAUUUAUUGGGCGUAAAGAGCUCGUAGGCGGCUUGUUGCGUCGGCUGUGAAAUCCCAUGGCUCAACUGUGGGCUUGCAGCCGAUACGGGCGGGCUAGAGUUCGGUAGGGGAGACUGGAAUUCCUGGUGUAGCGGUGAAAUGCGCAGAUAUCAGGAGGAACACCUAUUGCGAAGGCAGCUCGCUGGGACGUAACUGACGCUGAGACGCGAAAGCGUGGGGAGCAAACAGG